RNAcentral lists this non-coding RNA (70 nucleotides) under unclassified sequences. Its description in RNAcentral is "RAGATH-18 RNA". It matches the Rfam family "RAGATH-18 RNA". Rfam says of the family: Actinobacteria, Firmicutes, Fusobacteria, Thermotogae (1 example). Nearby to self-cleaving ribozyme genes The record is from Rfam by way of RNAcentral.
CCUUUGGAGAAGUAUACAAACUAUAGUAGCUAUUCUUUGAAUGGUGAAAUAGGCUUUGGUGAAUUAGGAA